AUUGGAACGCUGGCGGCAGGCCUAACACAUGCAAGUCGAGCGGAUGAACGGGAGCUGAUCCCUGAUUCAGCGGCGGACGGGUGAGUAAUGCCUAGGAAUCUGCCUGGUAGUGGGGACAACGUUCCGAAAGGAGCGCUAAUACCGCAUACGUCCUACGGGAGAAAGUGRGGGAUCUCGGACCUCACGCUAUCAGAUGAGCCUAGGUCGGAUUAGCUAGUAGGUGGGGUAAUGGCUCACCUAGGCGACGAUCCGUAACUGGUCUGAGAGGAUGAUCAGUCACACGGGAACUGAGACACGGUCCCAGAUCCURCGGGAGGCAGRAGUGGGGAAUAUUGGACRAUGGGCGAAAGCCUGAUCCAGCCAUGCCGCSUCACACKAGAAGGUCUUCKGAUUGUAAAGCACUUUAAGUUGGGAAGAAGKGCAGGAAGAUAUACCUUGCUGUUUGACGUUACCAC
Molecule: ribosomal RNA, 455 nt
Filed under: Pseudomonas citronellolis
Lineage: Bacteria; Pseudomonadati; Pseudomonadota; Gammaproteobacteria; Pseudomonadales; Pseudomonadaceae
Description: bacterial SSU rRNA
Rfam family: Bacterial small subunit ribosomal RNA
Source: RNAcentral